RNAcentral lists this signal recognition particle RNA (101 nucleotides) under Desulforamulus reducens MI-1. Its description in RNAcentral is "Desulfotomaculum reducens MI-1 SRP RNA; RNA component of signal recognition particle". It matches the Rfam family "Bacterial small signal recognition particle RNA". Rfam says of the family: The signal recognition particle (SRP) is a universally conserved ribonucleoprotein involved in the co-translational targeting of proteins to membranes. Archaeal SRP consists of a 7S RNA and homologues of the eukaryotic SRP19 and SRP54 proteins. In most bacteria, the SRP consists of a 4.5S RNA and the Ffh protein (a homologue of the eukaryotic SRP54 protein). The record is from RNAcentral. Lineage: Bacteria; Bacillati; Bacillota; Clostridia; Eubacteriales; Peptococcaceae.
GACCGGGUCUUACGCAGCGUAGGCUCUCGAACCGUGUCAGGUCCUGACGGAAGCAGCACUAAGGGAAACCCUACGGGUGCCGUAAGAUAGCCUGGUCUGAG